Molecule: RNA transcript, 1442 nt
Organism: Oncorhynchus masou masou (cherry salmon)
Lineage: Eukaryota; Metazoa; Chordata; Actinopteri; Salmoniformes; Salmonidae
Gene name: interferon alpha-inducible protein 27-like protein 2A
Exons: 4
Source: RefSeq, a predicted model, not a curated record
GCUCGAAGUUCCGGCAAGUUGUGACAACCAGCACCCUGUCAAUCAAUUUUCCAAUGCGGAACGGUUGAAAUGUCCAAUAUGCUCACCGAGAUGGAUACAGACACACCCUAAAUUGGUGCACCUAAGUUUCGUUUCCCCAAAAAAUCUAGGCACUGCAUUAUUUAAACCGGACCCAGUCUUUUCUCCUGCAGUCACUGAUAGUCACUGAGGAAACAUGGAACUUUUUACCGGUAUUGCGGUCACAGUAGGAGCAGGGUUAGCGGUGGCCUUUGCUCCAGCUACCCUAAGCGCUGUAGGGUUUACCGUAACUGGCAUCGCCGCAAAAUCUUUAGCAGCCGGCAUGAUGUCAUCCGCAGCCACUGCAAGUGGCGGUGGUGUGUUGGCUGGAAGCAUCGUUGCCGUUCUGCAGUCGGCAGGUGCAGCAGGGUUAGCUGGGUCUACAACCGCAGUGGUGGCUGGUGUUGGAGGAGCAGUUGGAGGAGCAGUGGGAUGGCUCACCGCUACAGCAGCUGGACUCAUCACAUGAUCCAAAUAUUGAUGAUUGAUAGCUGUCUUGGGACAGCUCUCGUCUAAGACAAUUUUAAUCACAAAGAUCACCUCUUUAAAUAUAUAUUUUUUUUUUAUCCUUUAUUUAGGGAUACAUAUAAACACUUGUUAAGACGGUGAAGGAAGGCUUAGUGUUUAAAAAUAUAUAUUAUUGAAGUUCAUAUCCUCAAUAUUGUGUGCAAUGAAGGAAAAUUAUGACUGACUUGUUCUGUUAGGACAUCUUGGUCAGCUGCACUUUCAAGCCCAGGGCUUUUUUAUACCGUACUUUUUACUUUUUCAUAUUUCAGUUUAAUACCUUCUUUAUCUCAAUCAAAGGUCAAGUGUUGCCAGAUAUAAUGUAAACAUUUGUCUGGUGUCUUUGUCUCUACAUACAGUAUGUGUCAGCUCGGGAUGGAAAUUAGUUUAGUCUUCGUAACAGGAUGUUUUCCAAUUGAGUUGAUUAGGCGGAUUUCUUCAAAUCUGUACCUCAUUGGUCUGUUGUACAGUGCAGUGGUGUAAAUUACUUAAGUAAAAAUACUUUAAAUAGUACUUAAGAAGUUUUUUGGAGUAUCUGUAAUUUACUAUUUAUAUUUUUGCCAACUUGUACUUUUACUUCACUGCGUUCCUUGUUACGGAUACAGGUAUCCUGGGGGUAUUAGUAGGCAGCUUUCUUCAAAUCUGUACCUCACUGGUAUGUUGUGCAGUGGUGUAAAGUACUUAAGUAAAAAAUACUUUCAAUACUACUUAAGAAGUUUUGGGGGGUAUCUGUACUUUACUUUACUAUUUGCCAACUUGUACUUUUACUUCACUACAUUCCUAAAGAAAAUCAUUUAAACACAAAUGCUUAGUCAGUAAAUUAUGUCUGAGUGUGGGAGUGUGCCUCUGGCUAUCAGUCAAUAAAAAAACUAAAAAAUAAA